Molecule: ribosomal RNA, 611 nt
Filed under: uncultured fungus
Lineage: Eukaryota; Fungi
Description: LSU rRNA
Rfam family: Eukaryotic large subunit ribosomal RNA
Source: RNAcentral
GCAUAUCAAUAAGCGGAGGAAAAGAAACCAACAGGGAUUGCCCCAGUAACGGCGAGUGAAGCGGCAACAGCUCAAAUUUGAAAUCUGGCUCUCGGGCCCGAGUUGUAAUUUGUAGAGGAUGCUUCGGGAGCGGUCCCCAUCUAAGUGCCCUGGAACGGGACGUCAUAGAGGGUGAGAAUCCCGUAUGGGAUGGGGUGUCCGCGCCCGUGUGGAGCUCCUUCGACGAGUCGAGUUGUUUGGGAAUGCAGCUCUAAAUGGGUGGUAAAUUUCAUCUAAAGCUAAAUAUUGGCCGGAGACCGAUAGCGCACAAGUAGAGUGAUCGAAAGAUGAAAAGCACUUUGAAAAGAGAGUUAAAAAGCACGUGAAAUUGUUGAAAGGGAAGCGCUUGCGACCAGACUCGCUCGCGGGGUUCAGCCGGCAUUCGUGCCGGUGUACUUCCCCGCGGGCGGGCCAGCGUCGGUUUGGGCGGUCGGUCAAAGGCCCUCGGAAGGUAACGCCCCUAGGGGCGUCUUAUAGCCGAGGGUGCAAUGCGACCUGCCUAGACCGAGGAACGCGCUUCGGCUCGGACGCUGGCAUAAUGGUCGUAAACGACCCGUCUUGAAACACGGACC